This 907-nucleotide ribosomal RNA is filed under the name uncultured archaeon. RNAcentral describes it as "bacterial SSU rRNA". It matches the Rfam family "Archaeal small subunit ribosomal RNA", at positions 7 to 922 of the family's 1478-position model. The record is from RNAcentral.
GUCGAUCCUGCCGGACCCGACUGCUAUCAGAGUGGGACUAAGCCAUGCGAGUCAACAUAGCAAUAUGUGGCAUACGGCUCAGUAACACGUAGUCAACAUGCCCAGGGGACGUGGAUAACCUCGGGAAACUGAGGAUAAACCGCGAUAAGUCACUACUUCUGGAAUGGGUAAUGACUCAAAUCUAUAUGGCCCCUGGAUUGGACUGCGGCCGAUCAGGCUGUUGGUGAGGUAAUGGCCCACCAAACCUGUAACCGGUACGGGCUCUGAGAGGAGGAGCCCGGAGAUGGGCACUGAGACAAGGGCCCAGGCCCUAUGGGGCGCAGCAGGCGCGAAACCUCUGCAAUAGGCGAAAGCUUGACAGGGUUACUCUGAGUGAUUUCCGUUAAGGAAAUCUUUUGGCACCUCUAAAAAUGGUGCAGAAUAAGGGGUGGGCAAGUCUGGUGUCAGCCGCCGCGGUAAUACCAGCACCCCGAGUGGUCGGGACGUUUAUUGGGCCUAAAGCAUCCGUAGCCGGUUCUACAAGUCUUCCGUUAAAUCCAACUGCUUAACAGGUGGGCUGCGGAAGAUACUAUAGAGCUAGGAGGCGGGAGAGGCAAGCGGUACUCGAUGGGUAGGGGUAAAAUCCGUUGAUCCAUUGAAGACCACCAGUGGCGAAGGCGGCUUGCCAGAACGCGCUCGACGGUGAGGGAUGAAAGCUGGGGGAGCAAACCGGAUUAGAUACCCGGGUAGUCCCAGCUGUAAACGAUGCAGACUCGGUGAUGAGUUGGCUAUAUGCCAACUCAGUGCCGCAGGGAAGCCGUUAAGUUUGCCGCCUGGGGAGUACGGUCGCAAGACUGAAACUUAAAGGAAUUGGCGGGGGAGCACCACAAGGGGUGAAGCCUGCGGUUCAAUUGGAGUCAACGCCGGG